Long non-coding RNA from Boleophthalmus pectinirostris (great blue-spotted mudskipper), 211 nucleotides. RefSeq lists it as uncharacterized. NCBI's taxonomy places the organism in Eukaryota, Metazoa, Chordata, Actinopteri, Gobiiformes, Gobiidae. The transcript has 3 exons. The record is from RefSeq and is a predicted model, not a curated record.
AAAGCGUCUGUGUCUUGGGUUUGGAAUAUUUUCUGAAAUCGUUUGGAGACUUUUGGAGACGUUCAGAGAUGGAGCUGUGGAGGGUGGGGCUGUGGAGGGUGGGGCUGCUGGUCUGGCUGUGGACCUCUGCAGGAGGACAGGAGCCAGAGCGGCGGUCAGUGUCCUGUGUCGUCAUGGAGACCUGUGUCCUUCCCUGCAGAUUGGACGGGGC